ACCCUUCCAUCAUAAUCUUAACCAUAAACCAUGCAGACUAGGGAUUUGCGGUUGUUCUUGUAAAACCGUAAGCCCCUUAUGAGAAAUCAAACUGAUUGGGUUCCU
Molecule: ribosomal RNA, 105 nt
Filed under: uncultured diatom
Lineage: Eukaryota; Bacillariophyta
Description: partial 18S ribosomal RNA
Source: RNAcentral